This 498-nucleotide ribosomal RNA is filed under the name uncultured bacterium. Its description in RNAcentral is "partial 16S ribosomal RNA". It matches the Rfam family "Bacterial small subunit ribosomal RNA", at positions 30 to 523 of the family's 1533-position model. The record is from RNAcentral.
AUUGAACGCUGGCGGCAUGCCUUACACAUGCAAGUCGAACGGUAACAGGUCUUCGGAUGCUGACGAGUGGCGAACGGGUGAGUAAAGCAUCGGAACGUGCCCAGUCGUGGGGGAUAACUGCUCGAAAGAGCAGCUAAUACCGCAUACGACCUAAGGGUGAAAGCGGGGGAACUUCGGGCCUCGCGCGAUUGGAGCGGCCGAUGUCAGAUUAGAUAGUUGGUGGGGUAAAGGCUUACUAAGUCGACGAUCUGUAGCUGGUCUGAGAGGACGACCAGCCACACGGGGACUGAGAAACGGACCAGGCUCCUACGGGAGGCAGCAGUGGGGAAUUUUAGACAAUGGGCGAAAGCCUGAUCCAGCAAUGCCGCGUGCAGGAAGAAGGCCUUAGGGUUGUAAACUGCUUUUGUACGGAACGAAAAGGUUCUUUUUAAUAAAGAGGACUGAUGACGGUACCGUAAGAAUAAGCACCGGCUAACUACGUGCCAGCCGCCGCGGUAA